Molecule: ribosomal RNA, 468 nt
Filed under: uncultured bacterium
Lineage: Bacteria
Description: partial 16S ribosomal RNA
Rfam family: Bacterial small subunit ribosomal RNA
Source: RNAcentral
GACGAACGCUGGCGGCGUGCUUAACACAUGCAAGUCGAACGGAAAGACCCUGCUUUUGUGGUCUGCUCGAGUGCCGAUCGCGUGCGUAACACGUGUGUAACCUGCUCUUCACUUUGGUAUAACUUCAGGAAACUGGGCCUACUCCCGUAUAGCAUCUCCUCCUCCAUUGUGGGCAUUGGAUCUUUUCGGCUUUUGCGGAUGGACUCGCGGCUUACCAGCUUGCUGGUGGGCUAGUUGAUUACCCAGGCUUUGACGGGUAGCCGGCCUGAGAGGGUGACUGGCGACAUUGGGACUGAGAGACGGCCCAGACUCCUACGGGAGGCAGAAGUGGGGAAGAUUGAACAAUGGGCGGAAGCCUGAUGCAGAAACGCCGCGUGCGGGAUGACGGCCUUCGGGUUGUAAACCGCUUUCGCCUGUGACGAAGCGUGAGUGAAGGUAAUGGGUAAAGAAGCACCGGCUAAAUACGUG